This 406-nucleotide ribosomal RNA is filed under the name uncultured bacterium. RNAcentral describes it as "partial 16S ribosomal RNA". It matches the Rfam family "Bacterial small subunit ribosomal RNA", at positions 30 to 526 of the family's 1533-position model. The record is from RNAcentral.
AUUGAACGCUGGCGGCAGGCCUAACACAUGCAAGUCGAACGAGUGGCGGACGGGUGAGUAAUGUCUGGGAAACUGCCUGAUGGAGGGGGAUAACUACUGGAAACGGUAGCUAAUACCGCAUACCAUCAGAUGUGCCCAGGUGGGAGUAGCUUGGUGGUGGGGUAACGGCUCACCCAGGCGACGAUCCCUAGCUGGUCUGCGAGGAUGACCAGCCACACUGGAACUGAGACACGGUCCUGACUCCUACGGGAGGCAGCAGUGGGAAAUAUUGCCCAAUGGGCGCAAGCCUGAUGCAGCCAUGCCGCGUAUAUGAAGAAGUCCUGCGGGUUGUAAAGUACUUUCAGCGGGGAGGCGUUACCCGCAGAAGAAGCACCGGCUAACUCCGUGCCAGCAGCCGCGGUAAUAC